Xyrichtys novacula (pearly razorfish) is the source of this 4040-nucleotide non-coding RNA. Lineage: Eukaryota; Metazoa; Chordata; Actinopteri; Labriformes; Labridae. The record is from the annotation of a GenBank genome assembly.
CUGAUAUUCUUUGAGUAAGUGAAGAUAAUGUAUCCCUGUCUGCCUCGCUGUUUAGUCACACAGUCACUGUUAUGUUUGGAAAAAAAAACAAAGCUACCGUUCUUUAUCUCCUAUCAGUUUUUUGUGAUGGAACUGAUUUAAAUGCUUAUAUUUUCGUGAUUGUUUAUGAAAAAUAAAAGCAUAAACUUUAAAAGAAGUUGACACAAUGGUGAUAGUGGGGUGAAUUGGUGUGUUAGUUGCUUUAAGUAUCAGUAAAGCAAGGGUAUGGCAGUAAUACCUCCAACUAAAACAUGUACAUAUAGUUUAGGAUGUGGUGCAUCCCUGGGAACAAUCACUCUGGAACAGAUGAUACAUGAUUAAUGGUUUUAUGAACUUGCUUUCAUGAAGCUUAACUUGUUACCAGCUACCUGCAAAUUAACAGGUGCAAGUAGUAGGGGAGACCGGGGCUUGUUGUCACAUGGGUAAGUUGUAACAUUGCAAUUGUCUUUGCCACCAGAGGGCGCAACUAAAAAGUGGAAUACUAGUUUUCUUCCUUUAUAUGGUCAGGGAUAUAUCCUGUCUGAGAAGAGAAGAGCACAUUGUGAGCCGAAAUGAGUACCAAUAAAUAUUUCACACAACCCAAAGCAAAAAAAAUUAACUGAAUACAGUCCCUGACAAAAGUCUUGUCGCUUGGGUACAAGUUGACCUUAAGUGCCCCUCAAAUAUAUGUGCAAUAAUUUUUUUUUUACAAGAAAUGUCUAAUUUCAAUCCCAACAGUGUUUGAAAUAAUGUCUUGGUGCCAAAUGAAACUGCUGAAAAGCAUUCUAAUGUUCACAGCUUGGUAAAGCCCACUAAGUCAGUUUUUGCACAGACAAAAGUCUUGUCGCCUUGUCAUAUGAUGCACCCAAUCCAAGAUUACAGCCUCACCUGUGAUCAAGUAUUGACCAAUCAAUUAGUGGGUGUAUAGAAAGAACCACACCAGACCUUCACAUCAACUGCAACUUAACCUCUGACAACAUGCCUAAGAUUCACCCUGAGACCAAAGCUUUGAUUAUCAAGAGGCUGAAGACCAGAUCCACUGCUGAGGUGGCUAACACCUUCAAUGUGUCUCAGCGUCAAGUACAAAGGAUAAGAAAAAGAUUUGAAGAGACUGGAGAUGUUUAUGACAAGCCCAGGCCCAGCAGACCCCGAAAGACAACUGCUCGGGAGGACCAUUUGUUGGCUUGAAAAUCCAAGGCCAGCCCCUUUUCCACUGCAGCAGAGCUCCACCAGGUCUGGUCACCUCAAGUCCCUGUGUCAAUCAGAACAGUUUGUCGAAUUCUGUCUCGACAUGGCCUCCAUGGUCGAAUCAGUGCCCAGAAACCAGCACUAAACAAAAAGAAAUUAAAAAAACUUGUGGCAUUUGCCAAGGCCCACAGCCUGCUAAAAGGAUGCACGCUGGAAAAGUGGCAGAAGGUGGAUUUUUCUGAUGAAUCUUCGGUUGAAUAACAUCACAACCGCUGCAAAUAUUGCAGGAGACCUACUGGAGUCUGCAUGGAUCUGAGAUUCACCCAGAAAACAAUUAAGUUUGGUGGUGGAAAAAUCAUGGUCUGGGGUUGCAUCCAGCAUGGAGGUGUGCGAGAGAUUUGCAGGGUGAAAGGCAAUAUCAAUAGCCUAAAAUAUCAACAAGUAUUAGCUACCUCUUACAUUCCCAACCAUAAAAGGGGUCAAAUUUUGCAGCAGGAUGGUGCUCCAUCGCAUACUCAGAUCUCUACAGCAAAGUUCCUCAAGGCGGAGAAGAUCAAGGUGCUCCAGGACUGGCCAACCCAGUCACCAGACAUGAACAUCAUCGAGCAUGUCUGGGGUAAAAUGAAAGAGGAAGCAUGGAAGACGAAACCAAAGAAUCUUGAUGAACUCUGGGAGGCAUGUAAGACUGCGUUCUUUGCUAUUUCUGAUGACUUCAUCAAUAAAUUGUAUGAAUCGUUGCUGAACUGCAUGGAUGCAGUUCUUCAGGCUCAUGGAAGUCAUACAAGAUAUUAAAUAUGGAUCUCACAGCACCACUACUUGAUUCACUGAUGUUGUGCAACAUAUUUUGUAUUUGAAGUAAAUUAUUUGUUCAAUUUUCACAUUACUCUAUGUAGGCGACAAAACUUUUGUCUUGCCAAAAUCUGACCUGUCUGUGCUCAUUAAAUGAUCAAUCUUUCUUCGGUGAAGGAAAUUUAUUUUAGAUUUUAAACAUAAUUUGGGAGGUUUUUUAGCUUUCAUAUGAGCCAUUUCUAAAACCAAUGGAUUAAUAACAAGUCAGGUUAUUAGCUGUUGUUUCUACAAAAUGGAUAAGUGACAAGACUUUUGUCAGGCACUGUAUAUUUUAAAAUAAGUUUCCAAAAAAAUAAAAAUCCUAGCAGUGAUACAUGUGGGCUUGUUAGAGGAGCGUUUAAGGCAUCCUGUCAUACCUCAGUCAUUGUUCUGUUUUAAGCUAACUAAGCUAGAGCUAGAAUUAGCAAACAUGGUAGUUUGGGGCAACAAGUCUCAGUCAUUUUGGGGUUAGUUGUCACAUGUUUAAAAGGGAUUAAAAUUAACAUAGAGAGUCUGCUCAUCAGCAGUUGUCAUAAUGAAAUUUUGAUUUUAUUUUUACAGAGAAAAGAGCGGUUUAAAGGAGAGAAAAAAGCGAGAAGACAUGGUCAGGAGUUACAAAAGAAAAACAGAAUGUAGUGCAGUACCUGACAUGAUGCUGAGGACAGUCAGGCAGGUGACCCUCGCUAAUAAAUCAAUCUGGAGGACAAUAAAGGACUUUAAUGUCAACUACCAUACCUUGGCUCGGUAUUGCAAAACAUUCACCCCAGCCGAAAUACAGAGUCAGACAGCUCUCCAAACUCCAGAGCAUGUUGCAUAAUAUUUUAUGUUAACAUUUGUUGAAUGGCUUUUUCUAGCUCAAUGAUAAACAUUUUCUGUACCUGACUUUGAUGUUCACUUUCAUGGAAAAAAAUGAGAACAAUAAUAAUUUUGUCCUUGUUUUAUUAGCUGAACAAUCAACUGUGACAUCUUACCCAAUGUAGUGAGACAACUUACCCGAUGGUGGGGCAACAUGUCACAUGUUCACACUCGAAAUUUGAUAGCUUAUAACUCUGCACUGACUCAAGAUAUGAAAAUGACAUGAAUACGAAAUAUAUACCUGAGACUUUGGUUUUUCAUUUGUUACACAUUUUGUUUAUAUAUGAUGUAUUGAUUCCAAGAAAUAUACAAGAGUGUGAAAAGUGUGACAACAAGCCCCGGUCUCCCCUAAUGAAUUCUUUUUUUUUUUUUUUCCAGGAGUGACAUGGUUCAAACACAGGUGUUGAUGGGCAUUAGUCACAAAGAAUUAGUUAUAUAUACACAUACACACAACAUCCUUAUUGUAAAAUGCAUAUAUUUUGGUUAAGUUUGCCUUAUAAACUCAAACUCUUAGAGGACUAAAACAAUCACCCCAGGCACCGUAAGGACUCAACUCUCUUUUCUCUCCAAAUGUAUAUCUUUAGGAUGGAUGAAUGACUAGACUCUAUUUUUGAUACUAUGAAACCAGAUGUUUCGGCAGCAUCCUCAAAACAGACUGUCUGAACAUUUUGGUCCUUUUAUUUCACUUUGAACUGAUUCGGGACCCUCAGAAUAUUUUUACAUCCCAAAUUUUAAAAGAGGUUUCAAAGAGCUCUUUGAAUAAAUGACCUCAAUCCACUUGAAUAUCAGAGCAAACACUCCCUGCCUAAAUUUAGACACCAAUAACAUUGAAUAUUUGUCAUUGGGUAUUGGUGCAUGUAGCUCCUCGCUGAGCAAAUAAAUGAUCCUUCAAGUUAGCUAAAAGGAAACUUCAGUGAGCAACAUCACUGUUGUGUUUAUGCAGGCCUGUUUCUUAAUCACACAUACAAUACUUUCUGUGCUAUCAUUUCUAAAUUCAAAGUGAAUUUAUUUCCAUUUACUGUAUAUUGGUUUUCCGGCAGCCUUGGGCACAGUGAGCUUUAAGUGUUUGUGUCCCGGUUCCUGCUGGGGAGCCCUGGAACGUUUUCUGUUUACGGCUUUACUGUGAUAACAUUUUCCCCUCUGAAUCACAG